GUCGUAACAAGGUCUCCGUAGGUGAACCUGCGGAGGGAUCAUUACAAGAACGCCCGGGCUUCGGCCUGGUUAUUCAUAACCCUUUGUUGUCCGACUCUGUUGCCUCCGGGGCGACCCUGCCUUCGGGCGGGGGCUCCGGGUGGACACUUCAAACUCUUGCGUAACUUUGCAGUCUGAGUAAACUUAAUUAAUAAAUUAAAACUUUUAACAACGGAUCUCUUGGUUCUGGCAUCGAUGAAGAACGCAGCGAAAUGCGAUAAGUAAUGUGAAUUGCAGAAUUCAGUGAAUCAUCGAAUCUUUGAACGCACAUUGCGCCCCCUGGUAUUCCGGGGGGCAUGCCUGUUCGAGCGUCAUUUCACCACUCAAGCCUCGCUUGGUAUUGGGCAACGCGGUCCGCCGCGUGCCUCAAAUCGNCCGGCUGGGUCUUCUGUCCCCUAAGCGUUGUGGAAACUAUUCGCUAAAGGGUGUUCGGGAGGCUACGCCGUAAAGCAACCCCAUUUCUAAGGUUGACCUCGGAUCAGGUAGGGAUACCCGCUGAACUUAAGC
This 546-nucleotide ribosomal RNA is filed under the name uncultured fungus. RNAcentral's name for it is "eukaryotic LSU rRNA". The stretch from base 200 to 353 matches the Rfam family "5.8S ribosomal RNA". Lineage: Eukaryota; Fungi. The record is from RNAcentral.